AACGAACGCUGGCGGCAUGCCUAACACAUGCAAGUCGAACGAGACCUUCGGGUCUAGUGGCGCACGGGUGCGUAACGCGUGGGAAACUGCCCUUAGGUUCGGAAUAACUCCCCGGAAGGGGUGCUAAUACCGGCUAAUGUCUUCGGACCAAAGAUUUAUCGCCUUUGGAUGGGCCCGCGUUGGAUUAGCUAGUUGGUAGGGUAAAAGCCUCCCAAGGCGACGAUCCAUAGCUGGUCUGAGAGGAUGAUCAGCCACACUGGGACUGAGACACGGCCCAGACUCCUACGGGAGGCAGCAGUGGGGAAUAUUGGACAAUGGGCGAAAGCAUGAUCCAGCAAUGACGCGUGAGUGAUGAAGGCCUUAGGGUUGUAAAGCUCUUUUACCCGGGAUGAUAAUGACAGUACCGGGAGAAUAAGCACCGGCUAACUCCGUG
This 433-nucleotide ribosomal RNA is filed under the name uncultured bacterium. RNAcentral's name for it is "partial 16S ribosomal RNA". It matches the Rfam family "Bacterial small subunit ribosomal RNA", at positions 29 to 507 of the family's 1533-position model. The record is from RNAcentral.